AUUGAACGCUGGCGGCAUGCCUAACACAUGCAAGUCGAACGGUGUUCCCGCUUCGGCGGGGGCAUAGUGGCGCACGGGUGAGUAACGCGUGGGAACCUGCCCCGUGGUACGGAACAACUCCGGGAAACUGGAGCUAAUACCGUAUGUGUCCCCUGGGACAAAGAUUGCAUCGCCAUGGGAGGGGCCCGCGUAGGAUUAGGUAGUUGGCGGGGUAACGGCCCACCAAGCCCGCGAUCCUUAGCUGGUCUGAGAGGAUGAUCAGCCACACUGGGACUGAGACACGGCCCAGACUCCUACGGGAGGCAGCAGUGGGGAAUAUUGGACAAUGGGCGCAAGCCUGAUCCAGCAAUGCCGCGUGAGUGAUGAAGGCCUUCGGGUUGUAAAGCUCUUUCGCACGCGACGAUGAUGACGGUAGCGUGAGAAGAAGCCCCGGCUAACUUCGUGCCAGCCGCCGCAGUAA
RNAcentral lists this ribosomal RNA (460 nucleotides) under uncultured bacterium. RNAcentral's name for it is "partial 16S ribosomal RNA". It matches the Rfam family "Bacterial small subunit ribosomal RNA", at positions 28 to 523 of the family's 1533-position model. The record is from RNAcentral.